GACGAACGCUGGCGGCGUGCCCAACACAUGCAAGUCAACUUGACUGAAGGAGCAAUCUGACAGUAGAGUGGCGCAAGGGUGCGUAACGCGUAAGUAACUUGCCCCAAGGUAAGGAAUAACGUCGAGAAAUCGGCGCUAAUACCUCAUAAUGCAGCGGAUCCGCAUGGAUAUGUUGUUAAAGGUUUACCGCCUUGGGAUAGGCUUGCGUCUGAUUAGCUAGUUGGUGUGGUAACGGCACACCAAGGCUACGAUCAGUAACUGGUCUGAGAGGAUGAUCAGUCACACUGGAACUGAGACACGGUCCAGACUCCUACGGGAGGCAGCAGUGAGGAAUAUUGGGCAAUGCUCGAAAGAGUGACCCAGCAACGCCGCGUGGAGGAUGAAGGUAUUCUAUAUCGUAAACUCCUGUGAGAGCAGACGAAAGACAGAUUAUUAAUCUGGAUGACUGUAUGCUCAGAGGAA
This 462-nucleotide ribosomal RNA is filed under the name uncultured bacterium. RNAcentral describes it as "bacterial SSU rRNA". It matches the Rfam family "Bacterial small subunit ribosomal RNA", at positions 28 to 489 of the family's 1533-position model. The record is from RNAcentral.